RNAcentral lists this ribosomal RNA (726 nucleotides) under uncultured Acidobacteriota bacterium. Its description in RNAcentral is "bacterial SSU rRNA". It matches the Rfam family "Bacterial small subunit ribosomal RNA", at positions 68 to 773 of the family's 1533-position model. Lineage: Bacteria; Pseudomonadati; Acidobacteriota. The record is from RNAcentral.
GCGAAAGUCCCGCAAGGGAUGAGUAGAGUGGCAAACGGGUGAGUAACACGUGGGUGACCUGCCUUCGAGCGGGGGAUAACGUCCCGAAAGGGACGCUAAUACCGCAUGACAUCCCGCCUUUGAAGAGGUGGAGAUCAAAGCUGGGGAUCGCAAGACCUAGCACUUGAAGAGGGGCCCGCGUCUGAUUAGCUAGUUGGUGGGGUAACGGCUCACCAAGGCAACGAUCAGUAUCCGGCCUGAGAGGGCGGACGGACACACUGGGACUGAGACACGGCCCAGACUCCUACGGGAGGCAGCAGUGGGGAAUUGUUCGCAAUGGGCGCAAGCCUGACGACGCAACGCCGCGUGGAGGAUGAAGACCUUCGGGUCGUAAACUCCUUUCGAUCGAGACGAAUGGCUUCCGGGUGAACAAUCCGGAAGAAUGACGGUACCGAGAGAAGAAGCCCCGGCUAACUCCGUGCCAGCAGCCGCGGUAAUACGGGGGGGGCAAGCGUUGUUCGGAAUUACUGGGCGUAAAGGGCUCGUAGGCGGCCAACUAAGUCAGACGUGAAAUCCCUCGGCUUAACCGGGGAACUGCAUCUGAUACUGGAUGGCUUGAGAUUGGGAGAGGGAUGCGGAAUUCCAGGUGUAGCGGUGAAAUGCGUAGAUAUCUGGAGGAACACCUGUGGCGAAGGCGGCCACCUGGUUGGAUACUGACGCUGAUACGCGAAAGCGUGGGGAGCAAAC